CAGCAGCCACGGUAAUACGAAGGGGGCUAGCGUUACUCGGAAUUACUGGGCGUAAAGGGCGCGUAGGCGGCACGAUUAGUCGGGCGUGAAAUUCCUGGGCUCAACCUGGGAAUUGCAGUGGAUACUGGGUCACUAGAGUGUGGUAGAGGAUAGUGGAAUUUCCGGUGUAGCAGUGAAAUGCGUAGAGAUCGGAAGGAACAUCUGUGGCGAAGGCGACUAUCUGGGCCAACACUGACACUGAGGCACGAAAGAGUGGGGAGCAAACAGGAUUAGAUACCCCCGUAGUCCCUGUCUCUUAUAC
Molecule: ribosomal RNA, 301 nt
Filed under: uncultured bacterium
Lineage: Bacteria
Description: partial 16S ribosomal RNA
Rfam family: Bacterial small subunit ribosomal RNA
Source: RNAcentral